AGCUCCAUAUAGGAAGAAAAAGAGUUGUUUAUGAUAUGUGACUAGAUACAUUGUUUUCUUGGAACAUUAUUUGCGUUUUUUCCCCCACAAAUUAAGUGUCAUUUCCCUCAUUUUUGAUGAACACAAUGCAUAUAUUAUAUGGAUUCCAGUAUGCAAUAUUAUAGUUUUUGCUGGCAUUCAUUCAGGGAAUGAGCAAAGCUGGAGAGCUAGAGUGUCAUUUCCCUCAUUUUUGAUGAACACAAUGCAUAUAUGGAUUCCAGUCUGCACUAUUAUAGUUUUUGCUGGCAUUCAUUCAGGGAAUGAGCAAAGCUGGAGAGCAAGAUGGGUGUAAAUGAAGAGAGCU
RNAcentral lists this long non-coding RNA (343 nucleotides) under Daucus carota (carrot). RNAcentral's name for it is "long non-coding RNA (DCAR_LNC006006)". The record is from RNAcentral. Lineage: Eukaryota; Viridiplantae; Streptophyta; Magnoliopsida; Apiales; Apiaceae.